UACGAAGGGGGCUAGCGUUGCUCGGAAUGACUGGGCGUAAAGGGCGCGUAGGCGGAUGGUCCAGUCAGAUGUGAAAUUCCUGGGCUUAACCUGGGGGCUGCAUUUGAUACGUGUUGUCUAGAGUGAGGAAGAGGGUCGUGGAAUUCCCAGUGUAGAGGUGAAAUUCGUAGAUAUUGGGAAGAACACCGGUGGCGAAGGCGGCGACCUGGUCCUUUACUGACGCUGAGGCGCGAAAGCGUGGGGAGCAAACAGG
This 253-nucleotide ribosomal RNA is filed under the name uncultured bacterium. RNAcentral's name for it is "partial 16S ribosomal RNA". It matches the Rfam family "Bacterial small subunit ribosomal RNA", at positions 524 to 776 of the family's 1533-position model. The record is from RNAcentral.